This 1373-nucleotide ribosomal RNA is filed under the name Glutamicibacter arilaitensis. Its description in RNAcentral is "bacterial SSU rRNA". It matches the Rfam family "Bacterial small subunit ribosomal RNA". The record is from RNAcentral. Lineage: Bacteria; Bacillati; Actinomycetota; Actinomycetes; Micrococcales; Micrococcaceae.
AUGCAGCCCAGCUUGCUGGGUGGAUUAGUGGCGAACGGGUGAGUAACACGUGAGUAACCUGCCCCCGACUCUGGGAUAAGCCCGGGAAACUGGGUCUAAUACCGGAUAUUACCUUUGACCGCAUGGUUGUUGGUGGAAAGAUUUAUCGGUGGGGGAUGGACUCGCGGCCUAUCAGCUUGUUGGUGAGGUAAUGGCUCACCAAGGCGACGACGGGUAGCCGGCCUGAGAGGGUGACCGGCCACACUGGGACUGAGACACGGCCCAGACUCCUACGGGAGGCAGCAGUGGGGAAUAUUGCACAAUGGGCGAAAGCCUGAUGCAGCGACGCCGCGUGAGGGAUGACGGCCUUCGGGUUGUAAACCUCUUUCAGUAGGGAAGAAGCGAAAGUGACGGUACCUGCAGAAGAAGCGCCGGCUAACUACGUGCCAGCAGCCGCGGUAAUACGUAGGGCGCAAGCGUUAUCCGGAUUUAUUGGGCGUAAAGAGCUCGUAGGCGGUUUGUCGCGUCUGCCGUGAAAGUCCGAGGCUCAACCUCGGAUCUGCGGUGGGUACGGGCAGACUAGAGUGAUGUAGGGGAGACUGGAAUUCCUGGUGUAGCGGUGAAAUGCGCAGAUAUCAGGAGGAACACCGAUGGCGAAGGCAGGUCUCUGGGCAUUUACUGACGCUGAGGAGCGAAAGCAUGGGGAGCGAACAGGAUUAGAUACCCUGGUAGUCCAUGCCGUAAACGUUGGGCACUAGGUGUGGGGGACAUUCCACGUUUUCCGCGCCGUAGCUAACGCAUUAAGUGCCCCGCCUGGGGAGUACGGCCGCAAGGCUAAAACUCAAAGGAAUUGACGGGGGCCCGCACAAGCGGCGGAGCAUGCGGAUUAAUUCGAUGCAACGCGAAGAACCUUACCAAGGCUUGACAUGUGCCAGACCGCCUCAGAGAUGGGGUUUCCCUUCGGGGCUGGUUCACAGGUGGUGCAUGGUUGUCGUCAGCUCGUGUCGUGAGAUGUUGGGUUAAGUCCCGCAACGAGCGCAACCCUCGUUCCAUGUUGCCAGCACGUAAAGGUGGGGACUCAUGGGAGACUGCCGGGGUCAACUCGGAGGAAGGUGGGGAUGACGUCAAAUCAUCAUGCCCCUUAUGUCUUGGGCUUCACGCAUGCUACAAUGGCCGGUACAAUGGGUUGCGAUACUGUGAGGUGGAGCUAAUCCCUAAAAGCCGGUCUCAGUUCGGAUUGGGGUCUGCAACUCGACCCCAUGAAGUCGGAGUCGCUAGUAAUCGCAGAUCAGCAACGCUGCGGUGAAUACGUUCCCGGGCCUUGUACACACCGCCCGUCAAGUCACGAAAGUUGGUAACACCCGAAGCCGAUGGCCUAACUCACCUUGUGUGGG